AACGAACGCUGGCGGCAUGCCUAACACAUGCAAGUCGAACGAGAGCUUUCGGGCUCUAGUGGCGCACGGGUGCGUAACGCGUGGGAAUCUGCCCUGGGGUACGGGAUAACAGCGGGAAACUGCUGCUAAUACCGUAUGAUGACGUAAGUCCAAAGAUUUAUCGCCCUGGGAUGAGCCCGCGUUGGAUUAGCUAGUUGGUGGGGUAAAGGCCUACCAAGGCGACGAUCCAUAGCUGGUCUGAGAGGAUGAUCAGCCACACUGGGACUGAGACACGGCCCAG
RNAcentral lists this ribosomal RNA (280 nucleotides) under uncultured Sphingomonas sp. RNAcentral describes it as "partial 16S ribosomal RNA". It matches the Rfam family "Bacterial small subunit ribosomal RNA", at positions 29 to 334 of the family's 1533-position model. Lineage: Bacteria; Pseudomonadati; Pseudomonadota; Alphaproteobacteria; Sphingomonadales; Sphingomonadaceae. The record is from RNAcentral.